UUUGAAUUCAAAAUUUGAUUUGAAUUCAAAUGUGCAAUUACUCAUCUUUAUCCUUUCUUUUGGAUAAGACGUUUGACGUUAUUAUAAAAGGAGGAGAAGAGUGGGGCAUGCAAGAAGAAGAUUUUUGGAGAAAAAUUUUGGGGUGUGAGAAGUCUUGUGCAUAAGAAGGAAGUCCAUAUCCUUCUAAGAGAAAAAGAAAAAUAAGAAAGAAAAGUGGGUGCAAGGUUUUCGAUGAGUUCCCUAGAGUUUUAGCCUGG
Molecule: long non-coding RNA, 257 nt
Filed under: Elaeis guineensis (African oil palm)
Lineage: Eukaryota; Viridiplantae; Streptophyta; Magnoliopsida; Arecales; Arecaceae
Description: long non-coding RNA (EGUI_LNC058349)
Source: RNAcentral